This 302-nucleotide ribosomal RNA is filed under the name Otodistomum veliporum. RNAcentral describes it as "SSU rRNA". The stretch from base 182 to 302 matches the Rfam family "Eukaryotic small subunit ribosomal RNA", at positions 745 to 866 of the family's 1831-position model. The record is from RNAcentral. Lineage: Eukaryota; Metazoa; Platyhelminthes; Trematoda; Azygiida; Azygiidae.
UCUGGGUCGCAUGGCUACGUGCUGUGCCUGAGCUUGAUGUGGUUUCGACUGUGUUCGGCUUGGCUGGUAUAGUGGUCGUGCAGCCUUUCUGCCGUGUCUGUGUAACAGGUGCUGGUUGGUUAACUCCGGUUGGCCGAUUGGCAUGCUUCAAGAUGCCUUUAAACGGGUGUCGGGAGCGGACGGCACGUUUACUUUGAACAAAUUUGAGUGCUCAAAGCAGGCCGGUGCGCCUGAAAAUUCUUGCAUGGAAUAAUGGAAUAGGACUUCGGUUCUAUUUUGUUGGUUUUCGGAUCCGAAGUAAU